UACAGAGGGGGGCAAGCGUUGUUCGGAAUUACUGGGCGUAAAGGGCGCGUAGGCGGCCUUCUAAGUCGAACGUGAAAUCCCCGGGCUCAACCCGGGAACUGCGUCCGAUACUGGAAGGCUUGAAUCCGGGAGAGGGAUGCGGAAUUCCAGGUGUAGCGGUGAAAUGCGUAGAUAUCUGGAGGAACACCGGUGGCGAAGGCGGCAUCCUGGACCGGCAUUGACGCGUGAGGCGCGAAAGCCAGGGGAGCAA
This 250-nucleotide ribosomal RNA is filed under the name uncultured bacterium. Its description in RNAcentral is "partial 16S ribosomal RNA". It matches the Rfam family "Bacterial small subunit ribosomal RNA", at positions 524 to 771 of the family's 1533-position model. The record is from RNAcentral.